UUUCCGUAGGUGAACCUGCGGAAGGAUCAUUACUGAGUGAGGGCCCCUCGGGGUCCAACCUCCCACCCGUGUUUAACGAACCUUGUUGCUUCGGCGGGCCCGCCUCACGGCCGCCGGGGGGCAUCUGCCCCCGGGCCCGCGCCCGCCGAAGCCACCUGUGAACGCUGUCUGAAGUAUGCAGUCUGAGACAAUUAUUAAAUUAAUUAAAACUUUCAACAACGGAUCUCUUGGUUCCGACAUCGAUGAAGAACGCAGC
This 256-nucleotide unclassified non-coding RNA is filed under the name plant metagenome. RNAcentral describes it as "partial contains small subunit ribosomal RNA, internal transcribed spacer 1, and 5.8S ribosomal RNA". The stretch from base 208 to 256 matches the Rfam family "5.8S ribosomal RNA", at positions 1 to 49 of the family's 154-position model. The record is from RNAcentral.